GCCUGCAGUACUGCACUCUAACUGCUGCGCCACCUCGGUUGUUAAGUGAAUCGCGCGGUCUGGCUUCCCCCACUGAUUUUGCUUGACGGAAAGUUGCCAACCGUGAUCACAGGACCCCGGGAUGCUACCACCGUCAUAAGUGCGUGCCAGUUGCCAAGUGUUUGAAUUUUGAACAUGUGACCACGGGGAUGCUGCUGGAACGGUGCAUGGCCACUUGCGAGAGAAGUAAAGACAGAUGUCACUGGAGGACAAGAGACGGUAUCUCCUGCACUUUCCUAAGAAAGAUGGAGCUUCUUCCAAGAAGAGGUUGAAUGAAUUAUUCAUGAGCGUCACCAAGAGGAGCAGGAUCACACAGAUGGAGAGGAGGCCAAUGGCGGAGCAAGGCCAGCUGGUACCAUCUGCGAAAGGGAAGAAGGAAAGUACCAAGGAGAGAUGAGAACAGAGGAAGACAACCAGGCUCCCCAAAUUGUUGUCGGAAGAGAUUCUCUUCACAGGAGCCACUGAGCUAUCAGGCAGAAUAAUUGAAGGGUGUUUUUUCCUCAAUGGUUUUUUUUUUUAUUUUUUUGGGUAAGCUGCCCGGAGUAACUUCAGAUGGCUAAAUUAAAAGGUAAAAGGUAAAAGAUAAGGUGAAGUGACGUGAAGUUGGAGAGAAGGGAAGGGAUAAAAUAAACAUCCCAACUACACUGCCAGGGCAAACCAUUUGUAUAUAUCAACAGACAGCAGCCCACCCCCCCAUCCUUCUAACACUGAUGAUGCUCCCUAGUUGGGUUAUGGGGUAUUUGCAAGAAAACAACGCAGCUCAGAGAGCACCAGGGACCCCACACAUAAAUGACAAUAAUAAUAUAAAGUGCAGUAAUAAAUAAAGUACAAGGAGCAAAACAAAACAAUAAAUAAAAUAAAAAAUAAUAAAAUAAAAAAUAAUAAAAUAAAAUAAACAAAACAAAAUAAUUGCAGGUAUACGAAGAGCUUAUACACCGGAGACUAAUUCCUUGUAUGUCUUGGCCAAUGAAGUAUUUGAUUCUAUUCUAAAAUAAUAAAAUAAAAAUAAAAUAAAAUUAAAUAAAACAAUAAAAGUAAAAUAAAAAAUAAAAUAACAUAAAAUAUAAAAUAAUACCAUAAAAUAUAAAAU
Long non-coding RNA from Crotalus tigris (Tiger rattlesnake), 1129 nucleotides. RefSeq lists it as uncharacterized. The record is from RefSeq and is a predicted model, not a curated record. Lineage: Eukaryota; Metazoa; Chordata; Lepidosauria; Squamata; Viperidae. The transcript has 3 exons.